CUCGGGGCGCGCGGGUCAGCCGGCGGCCGCCGGCCCUCGGGGUCGGUCGCCCGAGGACAGCUCUUCCAGGGGCGGGAGAGCCACCUCCGGUCCGUGCGCGCCCCGGACGCGCUCCUUCGCUCCUGGAGGGCUGCAAGCCCAGAGAGAGGAAGUAACUUGCCCUGGAUGAGGAAGAUGGGAGAAAGCCGGUCUUGUGAUCAGGUUUCAGAGUGCCAGUCUGAUCGCUGAUUCAUGGGCUUCCCUGGUGACUCAGAGGGGAAAGAAUCUGCCUACAUUGCAGAAAAC
Cervus elaphus (red deer) is the source of this 285-nucleotide long non-coding RNA. RefSeq lists it as uncharacterized. NCBI's taxonomy places the organism in Eukaryota, Metazoa, Chordata, Mammalia, Artiodactyla, Cervidae. The transcript is spliced from 3 exons. The record is from RefSeq and is a predicted model, not a curated record.